Long non-coding RNA from Spinacia oleracea (spinach), 1397 nucleotides. RefSeq lists it as uncharacterized. The record is from RefSeq and is a predicted model, not a curated record. NCBI's taxonomy places the organism in Eukaryota, Viridiplantae, Streptophyta, Magnoliopsida, Caryophyllales, Amaranthaceae. The transcript is spliced from 8 exons.
AAAAAAAAAAUAAUAAAAAAAAUUUAAUUAAAAUCUGAAAAUCUCCCUCCAAUACAAGCGCAACCUAACCUAGGAACUUAAAAAAAAAAACUGUUCUCUCCUCCCUCAGCCAAAGUCUCUCACAGCUCUUGCAAACCAUCUCGUGACCGGCGAAGGCACCAGCUCUCUCCUCCUUCUCAGAUGACCGGCGAAGCCACCGGCGAAACCACACUCACACACUCGCACACCCAAAUCCAAGGCGGCAAUUAACUAUACCCACGAGGCCACGACCUUUACCACUCUUUCCCCAAAAAACAACGAGCAACCUCCAAUACUGUCUCCACUUCUCAGUCUCCACUGCGCACUACUCUGGUCAGAAAAUUGCAUACUGGGGAUUAUUGAAUUGCAUAGGAUUGGUUUAGUUUUCUGGGAUGUUGAAGAUAUGCGAUGAAGCCGCUGCUCUUCGUGAGAUGCAUAGGCUAAAGUCGAGAAAGAGAUGGACGAUGUUCAAGAUGAAUGUGCCAACGGAUAUAUUUCUAUAUAAUCAAGCUAGUGCGACCAUGUCUCCUGUCAUACAGGAUCUUUCUGGAGGAGAUGUAUAUGCAGAUUAGUUUCAAGAUGAGCUACAAAGACACCAGCUUCCAUCAUAUAUGGUGAAGGAUAUAAAUGCAAGGUUGGAGAGGAUUGAACCAAAGCCUCGGUCUUCUGAUAGUGUUGUUAGUAGUAAUAGCGUUAAUGAGCCCAAGGUUAAUAAUCAUACUCAUAAUCAUAAUCCUAAGCGAAGCAGUCCCAAAGCCAAGAAUACUUCUCGUGAGGCAUCUCUGUUCGGAGGAGAUGGAGAUGUUACAGAGAAGCCAGUUGAACCUGUGAAAGUUUACUCAAAGAAGGAGCUGAUCAGGGAAUUUGAAAAAAUUGCUUCAACACUUGUACCAGAAAAAGAUUGGUCUCACCGUAUUGCAGCCAUGCAGAGAUUUGAAGCCCUUGUAAUUGGAUGCAGACUCUCUUGAGUUCCCUCCAUCCACCAAUCUCUAACAGUUUUGCAUGGUUAAGGCCAAUAUAUUUUCAGCAUCAAGGCCAUUCAAGGACCCUCAUCAGUGUUGAAGCCAAGCAUCAAAAGAAUGGACUAAAACAACACAACGUACUUGUAAUAGAUCCUGGUCAUGUUUUCACAACUCCAAGGGUGGGGCCCUUUACCAAAGAGGAGUUGGAUCAAGUUCGAGACAAGUGGGUUACUUACUUCAACGAUUGUGAACUACCCUCAGUGUAAUAAAUAGAGCAGGCUUGUAGUUAUCCGUGACUUUUACAUUAUUUUGUUAUUUAUCGAUUUAAUUAAUUACAUUUGAAUUAAUUCGGUAAUAUUAUUGGAAAUUUGAAAUUUAUAUCAUUUUUCAGAAAUGUCAAGAUGAUGUUUGGUGAAA